CGGCGGACGGGUGAGUAACACGUGGAUAACCUACCUAUAAGACUGGGACUAACUUCGGGAAACCGGAGCUAAUACCGGAUAAUAUAUUGAACCGCAUGGUUCAAUAGUGAAAGACGGUUUUGCUGUCACUUAUAGAUGGAUCCGCGUCGCAUUAGCUAGUUGGUAAGGUAACGGCUUACCAAGGCAACGAUGCGUAGCCGACCUGAGAGGGUGAUCGGCCACACUGGAACUGAGACACGGUCCAG
This 245-nucleotide ribosomal RNA is filed under the name uncultured Staphylococcus sp. Its description in RNAcentral is "partial 16S ribosomal RNA". It matches the Rfam family "Bacterial small subunit ribosomal RNA", at positions 96 to 334 of the family's 1533-position model. The record is from RNAcentral. Lineage: Bacteria; Bacillati; Bacillota; Bacilli; Caryophanales; Staphylococcaceae.